Capsicum annuum is the source of this 6210-nucleotide long non-coding RNA. RefSeq lists it as uncharacterized. Lineage: Eukaryota; Viridiplantae; Streptophyta; Magnoliopsida; Solanales; Solanaceae. The record is from RefSeq and is a predicted model, not a curated record. The transcript is spliced from 3 exons.
CUUCCUUCCUCAAACUAAUGAUUUUUUCGUUGAGUAUCAUCUUGUAUUAGCCUUUUCUACAUAGCUGAACUGUUGUGGGAUUACACUCUGUAUUUUUUUUUCUUUUUCCCUUAAAAUGGAUGCUUAUCCAAGUAUUUGUUUUCUGGCUUCUAUAUAGUGGUAUAUGGAAUCAUAAGAGAGCCAUUGCAAUAGUGGGUCCAAUACUCUCACUUUUCAUGAUAUCUUCAACUGCCGUGUGUGCUCUAUUUACAAUUUAAAAAUAUCCCUUUUAAUCAAUCUUCCAAAAUUUGCCCAUGUAUUUUGUUUGCAUAAGCUAUUUACCUUUCUUGACUGAUAUUUGCUUUGAUCUGUAUAAUUAUGUAUAAUUAUGUAUAAUCUGUAUAAUUUUGUAUAGUGUAUGCCUAUUGAAGAAUUUGAAGGGCAUAUUGGAGGUAAAAUAUAUCAAAAAGUAGAAUCACAAAAAAGGAACAAAGUGCACACAUAGUUUUUGAUUCCUAUUGGGAUGAGUGGAGCUAUCUAUAUGGUCUUAAGUGUUUGGGACCCAGUGCUUUCAAGGAGCAGAAUUCUAGGAAGGGGGGGGGGGGGGGUUGAGCAGAAUUCCAUGAGACUUCAAAUCUAAGGAUGCAAGUCCUAUGUAAAGAAAAGCAUACGUGAAUAAAAGCAAGAGAAAAAGAGGGUGAAUGACAUAUUUUUGUAACGGAAAAAAUCCUCGAGAGCUGAUGAUGCAUGGUUUGAGACUUGCUGGAUAGUGGACCUAUUCCCCUGUAUAUGAUUUUUUAUUUGCAAUUGAUUCAACCUCAUGAUUAGCUCUAGCCCACACAUUGUGUACUAUACUCUUGCCCCUACAUCAAAAUCUUGGGGCAUUAACAUGUUUCUAGUCCUACUUCCCGUCUUAUCUUCACAUAUUCAUUAACUAAUUUUCUAUUUUUUUUGAUAAAUGUUGUGUUCGAGCUAGCUUGCACGCACCUUGACUAAUUCUAUGAGAUAUCUGCCUCCUAUGUUGCUCAGAUUCUUUAAAAAUGUCGGCAGGUACUUGUUGGAUCCUUCAAAAAGUGCAUCUUUGAAGGAUCCGUCAUAGGUGCAACAUAACCUGCUACCUCCUACUGCAACAGGUUAGGGUAGCUCUGUCCACCAAAGUUAGGACAAAUGGGACGAAAUCACCUAGUGUGUUUGUCUUUACUAGGAUUUAAACCUAAGACCUCAUGGUUCUUGUGAAAAUAUAGGAGAAAAAUGUAUUGAAUUGUUGUAUCUAAAUUAUUACAUUAAGAUACUAUUUAUAGGCUAGAAUCUUUUUUCAAUUAGGACACUGAUAUUAUAACCCUUUUCCAAGUAGGUAUCUAUAUAAUAUUCCUAUUCCUACACCACGGCUUGGCUCAGCGGUAAGCUUGCUUACCGUGGUGUGCCAGGUCCUGGGUUCGAAUCAGUCCUUCAGCGAAGCUGGGGUAAGGCUUCCUAGACAUCCCUUCCCCGACACCCACGGAGUGGGUACGAACCGGGCCGACCCUUUUUACCCCUACUCAUAUUCUAAACAUUCGCCUUCAAGCUGGUGCAUAUAAGUCAUAUUUACUGAGCUUGUUACAAAUGUAAUUAAUACGAGGACUAGUGAGUGAUUUGGUGAAAAUAUCUUCAAGCCGCUCACUAGAUUUCACUAAUUUGUAACAAUAUCUCUGGAAAGUAUCUUCUCUCUCACAAAGCGACUAUCAAUCUCAAUGUUCUUAGCCUUCUCAUGAAAUAUCAGAUUUGAUGCAAUAUGAAGAGCUGCUUGGUUAUCACACACAAGUUUCAUUUCCUUGAUUUUUCCAAAUUUUAACUCUCUUAACAACUGUUUAAUCCAAACUAACUGACCAGUGGCUACCACCAUUACUUGAUAUUCUGUUUCUGCACUAGAUCGAGUUAACACACUCUAUUUUUGACUCUUCUAGGUCACCAAAUUACCUCCUACGAAAGUACAAUAUCUGAAUAUAGAACGUCUAUUACAAGGUGAUCCUGUUAGACUCUAACAGCAUUAGAUAACAUCUGUAUGUUCAAUGGUCUGCUUAUGACCUCGAUCCUCAAAGAGCUGACUAAAUAUAUCACACAAUGAGAACAACUGCAUCCCAAUAACUAUCAUAGGAGAAUCUAUAAACUGACUUACAACACUCACAUGAUAGGAAAUGUUAGGUCUGGUUACUAUGAGAUAAUUCAACUUACCACCUAGAUGCUUAUAUCUUUCAGGAUCGUUGAGUGACUCCUCCUAUCCUGGCAAGAGUUUAGUAUUCGAAUCCAUAGAAGUGUCAAUAGGUUUACAUCUUAUCAUUCUUGUCUCUUUGAGAAUGUCUAAGGCUUACUUGCGUUGCGAAAUAACAAUGCCUGAUUUGGACUGAGCAACUUUAAUACCUAAAAAAUGCAAUGUUAAAAGAGGUGUUGCUUCAAACUAAUGAUACCAUCUUGAUCAUUGCCAGUAACAACGAUAUCAUCAAUGUAAAACACCAAAUAAAUACAUAGAUUUGGAGCAGAAUGUUGAUAAAACAUAGGCCAAACUUCUAAAUUACUGUGCUGAACUUUCCAAACCAGGCUCGAGGAGAUUGUUUUAGAUCAUAAAGUGAUCGACGCAAUCGACACCCCAGACUAGACUCCCUGAGCAACUAAACCAGGUAGUUGCUCCAUAUAAACUUCCUUCUAAAGGUUAUCAUGGAGAAAAACAUUCUUAAUAUCCAAUUGAAAAAGUGUCCCGUGUCCAACAAUCAUUGGAUAGAAAAAGAUGAACAUAUGCUAUUUUAACCACGGGAGAGAAAGUAUCACUAUAAUCAAACCCAAGUAUCUGGGUGUACCCUUAGGCAACAAGGUGAGUUUUAAGUCUAUCAAUUUGACUGUCCGAACUAAUUUUCACUGCAUAAACCCAACGACAACCAAUGUUGAUUUACUUGAAGGGAGACGAAUAAACUCCCAUGAACCACUUAUAUGUAAAGUAGGCAUUUCGUCAUUCAUAGUCCGUUGCCAUCCUGGAUGAGAAAGUGCUUCUUUUGUGGACUUAGGGAUGGAGACAUAGUACAAAGAUUAUAUAAAGGCAUAAUGGGGUGAUGAUAAAUGAAGAUAACUUAAAAGGGUAUAAUGAGGUUAGUAUUAUGAGUGGACCAUAUACCUUUUCGAAGUACAAUCGGAGGAGAUAAGUCUGUAGUAGGUGUAGGGUCAGGUGCAGAAUGGGAAUUAUCUAAGCCUGAUGUUGUACAUGGACGAUGAUGAUAAUUCCGGAGUGGUGGCACUGUAUAUGGAGUCUGUUGCUUGGACUCCUCAGAAAUGUCAUCAAGUACGUGUCGGAUCCUUUAAAAGUAGUGUAUAUUUAGAGGAUCCUACAUAGGUAUGACAACAUUUUUAGAGAGUUCGAGCAACUUAGGAUGAAGUUUAGAAGGUAUUUUAAAUUCCUCAAAAGUUAAGUGCAGGUAAGACCAGUGUUCAGAGAUGCGACUGCAUCAUCGCAUUAUGAGCUGAUGCGAUGCGAUGCGGCUCCCAGUGAGUCACAUCUUUGAUGCAGUUCAAUCUGAGAAUUGCGGGUGCAUCAAGCCCUGUUGCGUGAUGCGAUGCGAUGUGAUUGCAUUAUGGAUUUUUUUUAUUUUUGGGCAAUUGUUAAUUAAAAAAAAGGGUUGGAAGUGAUUUUUUUUAAUGGGCAAUUUUUAAAUUAAAAAAAGGUUAGAAGUUUAAGAAAAGAUCGAUUAAAAUUUUUAGGGUUUUUUGACUUUGUGUUCUCUCCUCUCCACUGAAGCUGCGCUGCAACAACUCUUUCUCCAUUGAAGCUGUGACCAAGUACCAACUACCAACAAGUGAGUUUCUUCUUCUUCCUUCUUCUUUCUUCAUCCUUUUUUUCCCCUUCCUCCUUUUUCUUCUUCUGCUCUGUUUUUUCCUUCUUCUGCUUCUUUUUUCUUCUUCUGCUCUGUUUUUUCCUUCUUCUCUUGCUUUUUUUUUCAUACAUUGAUACCCUUUUUUUUUGAAUUUUCAACCAAUGCUCUGUUUUUUUUCUUUCACUAAAAUUAUAUUUUUUCAACAGAGCUGCUUCUUAUUCUUAUACUCUGUUUUAUUUUCUACAGUGAUAGUCUUUCAUCCGAUGUCAUCUGUUAGCUCUUCCACAAGUUACUGAUCUUAAUGAUGAUGAAAUGGAGGAAGAAGCUGCCGAUUUGUCACUUCCUUCAAAAUCACAAAAACACUUACAAAAUGCAUCAGUUUAUUCAAGUUAUGGAUCAAUGGGUACAAAAGGUCCAAUAGAUAUUUACUUUCCGUUAAAGCCAGGAAAUGAUUUUGGAAAAAGUUUUGCAGGCUAUGGCCAAGGGAAUUUUGAGGGAUGGUGCUGUUGUAGCCUUUUCAAGGUGGUUGUAUGAUGCAAGGCUGCCAUUUAAUUGUGUUAAUUAUGACAAUUUUGCAGACAUGAUCGAGGCCAAAAGACAAUAUGGUUCGGGGAUGAAGCCACCCACUUGCAUUCCAUGUGGCUGACACAAAAUUGUGGAGGAGCAUCGAGUGGAAUGGAACAAGUUCGGAUGUUCCAUUAUGAUGGAUAAGUGGACGGCGGGAACUGAAAAAUGAUCAUAAAUGUGUUUGUCAAUUCUCUGAGAGGAAGCUUGUUUCUUGAGUCAAUUGAUGCCAGCGACUCGUCCACUGAUUUCAUCAAAAUGUUCUCUUCGUUUAAGAGUACCAUAGAGAAGAUUGGACUAGAGAACGUUGUUCAAGUGGUUGCAGAUAAUGCAUCUAAAAAUGUUAAGGCAGGUUCUAUGAUAAUGGGAGUGUUCCCUCACAUAUAUUGGACUCCAUGUGCAGCCCAUUGUGUGAAUUUGAUAUUCGGAGAUAUUUUCAAAUAAAGGCCUUUUGAAGGUGUUUUCACCAAGGCAGGUAAUGUACAUUCUUACAUUGUUCAAAGGCCUUUGUUGUUGAAUAUGAUAGAAGAUUUACUAAUCAAUGAAACUUGGUGAAACUUGGCAAAACUAGAUUUGCUACUGCUUUCUUGACCUUACAGACAUUGUUCAAGCAAAAGUCAAAUUUGAGAAGCAUGUUCGUUUCAGAAGAAUGAAAUAAAAGUAAGUUUGCAAAAGAAGUGUAAGUUUGCAAAAAAAGUGUUGGAAUAAUGCUUUCAUUCCACUUUUGGAAUAAUGUUGCUUAUGCUCUUAAAAUAUGUGGCCCUUUGGUUACAGUUCUUUGUUUGGUAGAUGGUGAGGGAAAACCAUCAAUGGGUUACAUUUAUGAAGCAAUGAGUAAGGCGAAGGAGGCUAUUAAAAGUUUUUUCACUGAGGAGCAUAAAUAUGCAAAGAUUUUUGAGAUUAUUGAUAAAAGGUGGAGUGAUCAACUCCACAGAUCGUUGCAUGCAGUUGGCAAUAUCUUGAAUCCAUCACUUUAUUAUAAUCAUGAGGAUGAUUUACUGAAUAAGACUUUGAUGAUGGGAUUUCAUACUUGCAUUGCGAAAGUUGUUGAUGAAGAUAUGCAAGAUAAUUAGUUCUUAUCAAAAUGCCGAGGGACUUUUUGGUAUAGCAACUGCCAUAAGACAAAAAGAGACAAGAAGUCAUGAGUUGAAUGGUAGAGGCUUUAUGGUUCAAAAACUCCAGAGUUACAAAAGUUCGCCAUCAAAAUUUUGGGUCUAACUUAUAGCGCAUGUGGGUGUGAAAGAAAUUGGAGCAUGUUCGAACACAUCCAUACGAAAAAGAGGAAUAGACUUAACUCUAAAGCGCCUCAGUACCUUGGUGUUCAUAAAGUACAAUAAAACUUUGAGGCGUCGUUACAACGUUUGCAAUGGAUUUGAUCCAAUUAGCUUGGACAACAUUGGUGAUGCCAAUGAAUGGCUAACUGGAAUUGAGAAUGUUGAAGAUUAAUUAGUUUUUGAUGGAGAUACUAAUUUCACUUAGGGUGUUGUUGCCGAGGCAAGUGGAGUUGAUGAGUGUCGUUAUGGUUUAAGGGGUAGUACUUCAAGCUCAUACAAUAAGGGAAAAGAAGUUGCUACUUCAACAGGAGAUGAGGAAGAUGAGGAAGUUGAAGAUGAUGAGCAUUAUGUUGAUACUCAAGGAAUAAAAGAAUUGGACAAUCUUAAUGAACUAGAAGAGCUUUAGAUUGAACCAUUAUUAAUUUAGAUUUGAUUUUUCUUUUUUUGGGGUUUGUUUUGCUUUGUUGAACUAAUUUGUUAGUGUUUCAUUACAACUUUUGCUUAAAAUAUAUUGUCUUUAUUGUUAAUUAUAUAGUUGUUGUGGUCUUUUUGGUUAA